GCUAUGCGCAAUUCUUUACGAUUCGAACCUGCUGCAGGUUCGUGUCGAACGUAGUGAGACAACGGAGCCGCUUGCGGCGACGGCCCGCAGGGCGAGCGAAGCGAGUCAUCCUGCACGCCCCACUU
Molecule: small RNA, 125 nt
Filed under: Pluralibacter gergoviae
Lineage: Bacteria; Pseudomonadati; Pseudomonadota; Gammaproteobacteria; Enterobacterales; Enterobacteriaceae
Description: RtT sRNA
Rfam family: RtT RNA
About the family: This family represents a bacterial cis-regulatory element known as RtT RNA. The exact function of RtT is unknown although it is thought that it may be involved in changing the cellular response in relation to amino acid starvation.
Source: RNAcentral